GCAUGCAUUACAGGGUGAGUCUUCCUUGGCAGUGUUCGCCUCCGGGAACCGGCGAUCAACCACUGGACACUGCCAAAGGAGAUUUGCCCAGCAAUGCAGUA
This 101-nucleotide microRNA precursor is filed under the name Brachypodium distachyon (stiff brome). Its description in RNAcentral is "mir-399 microRNA precursor family". It matches the Rfam family "mir-399 microRNA precursor family". Rfam says of the family: mir-399 was identified in both Arabidopsis thaliana and Oryza sativa computationally and was later experimentally verified. mir-399 is thought to target mRNAs coding for a phosphatase transporter. The mature sequence is excised from the 3' arm of the hairpin. Lineage: Eukaryota; Viridiplantae; Streptophyta; Magnoliopsida; Poales; Poaceae. The record is from Rfam by way of RNAcentral.